CCUACGGGAGGCAGCAGUGAGGAAUAUUGGUCAAUGGCCGGAAGGCUGAACCAGCCAAGUCGCGUGAGGGACGACUGCCCUAUGGGUUGUAAACCUCUUUUAUAUGGGAAGAAUAAAUGCUACGUGUAGCAUGAUGCCUGUACCUUAUGAAUAAGCAUCGGCUAACUCCGUGCCAGCAGCCGCGGUAAUACGGAGGAUGCGAGCGUUAUCCGGAUUUAUUGGGUUUAAAGGGUGCGUAGGCGGUCUUUUAAGUGAGUGGUUAAACGUCGGGGCUUCACCUUGAAUUGCCAUUAAUACUGGAAGGCUUGAGUUCAGAAGAGGUAGGCGGAAUAAGUGAAGUAGCGGUGAAAUGCUUAGAUAUCACUUAGAACUCCGAUAGCGAAGGCAGCUUACUGGACUGCAACUGACGCUGAUGCACGGGAGCGUGGGUAGCGAACAGGAUUAGAUACCCGAGUAGUC
This 459-nucleotide ribosomal RNA is filed under the name uncultured bacterium. RNAcentral's name for it is "partial 16S ribosomal RNA". It matches the Rfam family "Bacterial small subunit ribosomal RNA", at positions 338 to 795 of the family's 1533-position model. The record is from RNAcentral.